UUCAGAGAGCAUGAGAAAGAAAAAAAAGCAGCAGGAGGUUGAGGUAGUAGCAGCCAGGUUGAAGAGAGAAGUAGCAGCAGGGGGGUUGAGAAAAGAGAAGUAGUUGGUGAUAGAGUAGUAGCAGCAGCAACAAGAGGAGGAGCAGGACGACAACAGGCGUUGAGAGAGAAGGAGGAAGAGAUUCAGCAGCAGGAGGUUGCGGGCAUCAGCAGCAGCAAGGAGGAGAGAGGCGCGC
RNAcentral lists this ribosomal RNA (235 nucleotides) under Triticum aestivum (bread wheat). RNAcentral describes it as "partial small subunit ribosomal RNA". Lineage: Eukaryota; Viridiplantae; Streptophyta; Magnoliopsida; Poales; Poaceae. The record is from RNAcentral.